This 513-nucleotide ribosomal RNA is filed under the name Munidopsis depressa. RNAcentral describes it as "partial large subunit ribosomal RNA". It matches the Rfam family "Bacterial large subunit ribosomal RNA", at positions 1829 to 2597 of the family's 2925-position model. Lineage: Eukaryota; Metazoa; Arthropoda; Malacostraca; Decapoda; Munidopsidae. The record is from RNAcentral.
GUCUGUAUGAAGUUGUAUGGAGUCUAACCUGCCCAAUGAAGAAAUUUAAAAGGCCGCGGUAUUUUGACUGUGCAAAGGUAGCAUAAUAAUUAGUUUUUUAAUUGGAAACUUGAAUGAAUGGUUGGACAAAGAAAAAGCUGUCUUUAAUAUUUUUUUUGAAUUUUACAUUUAAGUGAAAAGGCUUAAAUAUGUUUAAAGGACGAUAAGACCCUAUAAAUCUUUACAUUUUUGUACAUUUAUACAAUUUAGAUAAAAAUAAUUAAAAUGUUAAAUAAGAUGUUUUAUUGGGGUGAUAAAGAUACAAUUAUAAACUGUCUUAAUAAUAAAACAAAUGUGUUUGGCGAAUAAAAGAUCCUUUAUAAAGAUUAAAAGUUAAAGAUACUUUAGGGAUAACAGCGUAAUUUUUUUUGAGAGUUCCUAUCGAAAAAAAAGUUUGCGACCUCGAUGUUGAAUUAAAAAUUUCCUUGUGGUGCAGAAGUUAUAAAGGAGAGUCUGUUCGACUUUUAAAAUUUU